RNAcentral lists this ribosomal RNA (253 nucleotides) under uncultured bacterium. RNAcentral's name for it is "partial 16S ribosomal RNA". It matches the Rfam family "Bacterial small subunit ribosomal RNA", at positions 524 to 776 of the family's 1533-position model. The record is from RNAcentral.
UACGUAGGGGCCGAGCGUUGUCCGGAGUUAUUGGGCGUAAAGCGCGCGCAGGCGGCUCAAUGCGCCCGACGUGAAAGCCCCCGGCUUAACCGGGGAGAGUCGUCGGGUACGGUUGAGCUUGAGGGCGGGAGAGGGUGGUGGAAUUCCCGGUGUAGUGGUGAAAUGCGUAGAGAUCGGGAGGAACACCUGUGGCGAAGGCGGCCACCUGGGCCGACCCUGACGCUGAGGCGCGAAGGCGUGGGGAGCGAACGGG